Non-coding RNA from Mastigocoleus testarum BC008, 529 nucleotides. It matches the Rfam family "Bacterial RNase P class A". From Rfam's summary of the family: Ribonuclease P (RNase P) is a ubiquitous endoribonuclease, found in archaea, bacteria and eukarya as well as chloroplasts and mitochondria. Its best characterised activity is the generation of mature 5'-ends of tRNAs by cleaving the 5'-leader elements of precursor-tRNAs. Lineage: Bacteria; Bacillati; Cyanobacteriota; Cyanophyceae; Nostocales; Hapalosiphonaceae. The record is from Rfam.
AGAGUAGGCGUAGGUGGUUACAGACUAGUUGUAAUGACUGGUUUGAGGAAAGUCCGGGCUCCCGAAAGACCAGACUUGCUGGGUAACGCCCAGUGCGCGUGAGCGUGAGGAUAGUGCCACAGAAACAUACCGCCUUUCUUUCAGUUAACAGUUAACAGUCAACAGGUAACUGUAGCCCAUGAGGGCGUGGUGUCAGCCAUAAACUGUUAGCUUUGCGUGCGCGUUAGUAAGGCGUUAGCAAGCACAGGGCGCAAGCCAUAAACUGAUAACUGGUCACUGAAAAAGGUAAGGGUGCAAAGGUGAGGUAAGAGCUCACCAGCAACAUCGAGAGGUGUUGGCUCGGUAAACCCCGGUUGGGUGCAAGGUAAAGGAACCACGGUUGGUCUUUUCCCAGUUCCGCAAUUAAGAGCCGCUAGAGGUGUUUGGUAACAGACAUCCCAGAUAGAUGACCGCCCUCAAAAUUUAUGGAUAUAGUAUGCUGUGUCCGUAAAUAAGAGAACAGAACCCGGCUUAUGUUCCGACUCUCUUC